GCUCAGGUGGCGGAAUUGGUAGACGCGCAAGCAUGAGGCGCUUGUGGGAUCCGUAUCCCGUGGAGGUUCAAGUCCUCUCCUGAGCACAA
Molecule: transfer RNA, 89 nt
Filed under: Parcubacteria group bacterium SW_4_49_11
Lineage: Bacteria
Description: tRNA-Leu
Rfam family: tRNA
About the family: Transfer RNA (tRNA) molecules are approximately 80 nucleotides in length. Their secondary structure includes four short double-helical elements and three loops (D, anti-codon, and T loops).
Source: RNAcentral